This 438-nucleotide ribosomal RNA is filed under the name uncultured bacterium. Its description in RNAcentral is "partial 16S ribosomal RNA". It matches the Rfam family "Bacterial small subunit ribosomal RNA", at positions 339 to 795 of the family's 1533-position model. The record is from RNAcentral.
CUACGGACGCUGCAGUGGGGAAUAUUGGACAAUGGGCGAAAGCCUGAUCCAGCAAUACCGCGUGAAUGAUGAAGGCCUUAGGGUUGUAAAGUUCUUUUAGUUGGAAAGAUAAUGACGGUACCAACAGAAAAAGCCCCGGCUAACUCCGUGCCAGCAGCCGCGGUAAGACGGAGGGGGCUAGCGUUGUUCGGAAUUACUGGGCGUAAAGGGAGCGUAGGCGGAUUAGUAAGUUGGGAGUGAAAGCCCGGGGCUUAACCUCGGAACUGCUUUCAAAACUGCUAGUCUUGAGUGAAGUAGGGGAUGAUGGAAUUCCUAGUGUAGAGGUGAAAUUCUUAGAUAUUAGGAGGAACACCGGUGGCGAAGGCGGUCAUCUGGACUUCAACUGACGCUGAGGCGCGAAAGCGUGGGGAGCAAACAGGAUUAGAUACCCGAGUAGUC